GGCACGGCGGGCCUACGGUAGGCAGCAGUGAGGAAUAUUGUUCAAUGCAGGCAACUCUGAACCAGCCAUGCCGCGUGCAGGAUGACGGUCAUAUGUAUUGUAAACUGCUUUUGUACAGGAAGAAACCACUCUACGUGUAGAGACUUGACGGUACUGGAAGAAUAAGGAUCGGCUAACUCCGUGCCACCAUGCGCGGUAAUCCGCGGAAAUAUA
This 213-nucleotide ribosomal RNA is filed under the name uncultured Flavobacterium sp. RNAcentral describes it as "partial 16S ribosomal RNA". It matches the Rfam family "Bacterial small subunit ribosomal RNA", at positions 323 to 537 of the family's 1533-position model. The record is from RNAcentral. Lineage: Bacteria; Pseudomonadati; Bacteroidota; Flavobacteriia; Flavobacteriales; Flavobacteriaceae.